AAAACGACUCUCGGCAACGGAUAUCUUGGCUCUCGCAUCGAUGAAGAACGUAGCGAAAUGCGAUACUUGGUGUGAAUUGCAGAAUCCCGUGAACCAUCGAGUUUUUGAACGCAAGUUGCGCCCGAAGCCUUGGCCAGGGCACGUCUGCCUGGGCGUCACGC
RNAcentral lists this ribosomal RNA (161 nucleotides) under Pleuropetalum darwinii. RNAcentral describes it as "5.8S ribosomal RNA". It matches the Rfam family "5.8S ribosomal RNA". Rfam says of the family: 5.8S ribosomal RNA (5.8S rRNA) is a component of the large subunit of the eukaryotic ribosome. It is transcribed by RNA polymerase I as part of the 45S precursor that also contains 18S and 28S rRNA. The record is from RNAcentral. Lineage: Eukaryota; Viridiplantae; Streptophyta; Magnoliopsida; Caryophyllales; Amaranthaceae.